UUUCACUCUCCCGAGUUAACACGGACACAGAGAGAGAGAGAGAGAGAGAGAGCGCUUAGGUGGUGGUUAUGGCCGAUAGCAUAGAGGGCGCGUCGCUGCCAUCGGGGCCAGACGCGAAGAAGAGGCGAGUAAGCUACUUCUACGAGCCGAGCAUAGGGGAUUACUACUACGGGCAGGGGCAUCCGAUGAAGCCCCACAGGAUCCGGAUGGCCCACAACCUCAUCGUCCACUACGCGCUCCACCGUCGGAUGGAGAUCAACCGGCCGUUUCCGGCGGGGCCCGCCGAUAUCAGGAGGUUCCACUCGCUGGAGUACGUGGACUUCCUGGCCUCCGUCACGCCGGUGACCCUUAACGACCCGGUCUUCUCGCGCCACCUCAAGCGCUUCAAUGUCGGCGAGGACUGUCCGGUCUUCGACGGUCUCUUCGGGUUCUGCCAGGCCUCCGCCGGCGGCUCCAUCGGCGCCGCCGUCAAGCUCAACCGUGGAGACGCCGAUAUCGCCCUCAACUGGGCCGGCGGCCUCCACCACGCCAAGAAGGCCGAGGCCUCCGGCUUCUGCUACGUCAACGACAUAGUGCUCGGCAUUCUCGAGCUUCUAAAAGUUCACAGGCGUGUACUCUAUGUAGAUAUUGAUGUUCACCAUGGAGAUGGGGUUGAGGAGGCAUUUUACGCCACUGACAGAGUCAUGACGGUAUCCUUCCAUAAAUUUGGGGAUUUCUUUCCUGGGACCGGGCACAUUAAGGACACAGGGUGGGGGACUGGGAAGAACUACGCCCUGAAUGUCCCAUUAAAUGAUGGAAUGGAUGACGAGAGUUUCCGUGGUCUGUUUCGGCCCAUCAUUCAAAAAGUCAUGGAGAUCUAUCAGCCAGACGCAGUUGUUCUUCAAUGCGGAGCAGAUUCAUUGUCUGGUGACAGGUUGGGGUGCUUCAACUUGUCUGUGAAGGGCCAUGCGGAUUGCCUUCGUUUUCUUAGAUCUUUCAAUGCACCUCUGAUGGUCUUGGGUGGUGGAGGGUAUACAAUCCGUAAUGUUGCCCGUUGCUGGUGCUACGAGACAGCAGUUGCAGUUGGAGUGGAGCCUGAUAAUAAAUUGCCUUACAACGAAUAUUAUGAGUAUUUUGGCCCAGAUUAUACUCUUCAUGUUGAUCCAUGCAACAUGGAGAAUCUAAACUCACCCAAAGAUAUGGAGAAAAUAAGGAAUACGCUGCUAGAGCAACUUUCAAGAUUACCACAUGUGCCUAGUGUACCUUUUCAGACAACACCACCCAUCACACAAGCCCCGGAAGAGGCGGAAGAGAGCAUGGAUCAAAGGCCAAAACCUCGCAUAUGGAAUGGUGAUGAGUAUGACUCUGAUCCUGAUGAAGACGAGAAGCCUCAACAUGCUGAGCCAAAUUUGGAAACGAGAGAUGCAGUUGAUGAAAUGGAUGAAGAUAAACGUGAAGACCAUCCUUUAUCUUGAUAUGGAUUAACUUUAUAGCUUCUAUAGUUGUAUCUCAUUUGGACAGAAUAGGAAAUAGAGCGACCGAUAUAGGAGACCGAAAUGUUUAGGAAUUAGGAUUUCAUUAGGGGGAAAUGCAUUCCCAUAUAUAUAUAUAUAUAUAUAUAUAUAUAUAUAUAUUAUGCUAUGUUUUGAGAUGUUUAGUAAGUGCCUGAGGGCACGUUUGGACAAUUACUGUGACAAUUCUAGUUAUGUUA
Corylus avellana is the source of this 1690-nucleotide RNA transcript. It is a transcript of the gene named histone deacetylase 6, with no coding region annotated. Lineage: Eukaryota; Viridiplantae; Streptophyta; Magnoliopsida; Fagales; Betulaceae. The record is from RefSeq and is a predicted model, not a curated record.